GGGUUGUACCUCCAUGUUGGCAAGAUAACCUUCUUGUACAAUCUCCAAUCUGAGCUCUUUCAACUGUUCGCACAAAUCAGGUGGUAGUUCUCGAGCUAUGAGUCCAUUCACAUAGCCCUUGCGGCUUAAUGCAACAUCCCAAUUUUCAAAACCCUUCAUAUGCAUUGCAUAUCAUGAGCAUCAUGUCACCCUUGCAUUUAAUCACAUUUGAUAACCCUAAAAUUUACCCUGAGAAUCCCUGUUCAAAAGUGCUUUUAUUUGAUUUUGGGCUUUGAUCUUACUUUCAAGCAUUUGUGUUUUAACCCAUGAGGGUAUUGGUAUAAAAAGGGAUUUAAUGCAUAUAUAAAGCUAUCCCAUAAGUUUGCUUUUGAAAUUAUUUUGAAAAUUAUUUUAUUUUGAUAGCCUAAGGGCCCUAAAAGCCAUUUUAUAAGCAAAUGUACUUUUAAGUAUUUUAUUUUGAGAAAAUUCUUGUUCCAGAAGUUAGAUCAUAUGAAAAUAUGAUUUUACAAAUUUUGUUGCAAUUUAUUGGGAGUGAUUUGGAGCUUUGAAUCAAUUUUGAAGUUUAAAAAACAGAAAAUAGAAAAAAAAUGAAAAGAAAAACCGAACCGGCCGAACCAGACCGAACUGGACCGCCCGACCGGCCUGCCCCGCGCGCUCGGUCACUGACAGUGGGCCCCACGCCGUCUCCUACCUCCAACUGCCGUCCGGAGUCCACGCCGAGCA
Molecule: long non-coding RNA, 723 nt
Filed under: Brachypodium distachyon (stiff brome)
Lineage: Eukaryota; Viridiplantae; Streptophyta; Magnoliopsida; Poales; Poaceae
Description: long non-coding RNA (BDIS_LNC002136)
Source: RNAcentral